This is a long non-coding RNA of Notothenia coriiceps (black rockcod), 429 nucleotides long. RefSeq lists it as uncharacterized. The record is from RefSeq and is a predicted model, not a curated record. NCBI's taxonomy places the organism in Eukaryota, Metazoa, Chordata, Actinopteri, Perciformes, Nototheniidae. The transcript has 4 exons.
CUUGGCUGCACGGUCACUGGUCUUUUCGCUCUCACAAAGGGCGAGUGCAAGACGACAUUUUACUGUUGACUGAGGGAAACUCUCCCGACAGGCACAAGACCGGAGCUUAAUGUACACAACCGGCCCAGCUACCCGGGAUAUUAAGUGACCAUUUCCAUUUCCCCGGCAGGAUUAAGCUGAGUUGGAAAUCUACUCUGUGAAAGUUGCGCUCCUCUUCCUCUGCGGCGUAUGCCUGGGCCCGGGUGGAACGCUGCCUGCCUUCAGUGUAGGGACUGUACGGUGUGACACUUUCUUUUCUGUAUGCUAAAUAUCUCACUGUUAUUAUUUUAUUGAGAUUGUGGUUUGAAUAUUGCAUGCUUUCGUUGUUUUGGUGUGUGGCUUUUCUUGUUUUUGUCCCUCACGAUUAGCAGGCACUGCAACCCAGCGGAC